RNAcentral lists this transfer RNA (120 nucleotides) under Pleione formosana. Its description in RNAcentral is "tRNA-Leu". Lineage: Eukaryota; Viridiplantae; Streptophyta; Magnoliopsida; Asparagales; Orchidaceae. The record is from RNAcentral.
UCAAUAUUAUUGAUAUUGAACAUUUCCAUAUGAAUGGAAAUGCAUCUUUCUUCAUUGUUUCCUAAACUCUAUUGAAUAUCGACAAUUCAACAUGAAUUUCCUAUUAUUAUUUAGGGUAAG